This 358-nucleotide transfer-messenger RNA is filed under the name Desulfobacterales bacterium. It matches the Rfam family "transfer-messenger RNA". From Rfam's summary of the family: Bacterial tmRNA, also known as 10Sa RNA or SsrA, is named for its dual tRNA and mRNA-like properties. Its role is to liberate the mRNA from a stalled ribosome. To accomplish this part of the tmRNA is used as a reading frame that ends in a translation stop signal. Lineage: Bacteria; Pseudomonadati; Thermodesulfobacteriota; Desulfobacteria; Desulfobacterales. The record is from RNAcentral. RNAcentral also lists the same sequence under 1 other name.
GGGGGCGAAACGGCUUCGACGGGGACAUGGAAGCAAUGGCUGCAUACCGAGUUCCGCUGGCUCGUAAAAACCGGCGGCGUCUAAACACAAAAGCAGACGAUUAUAACUACGCCCUAGCUGCUUAAAGCCAGCUAGCGUCCUUCCGGGUUUUUUCCUGCGGACCCGGUACAGGGCGUCGAUCAGCAGGAUAGCCGAUCCGGGAUGCCUGUUCCCGGUAAGGCGAAACUCAAACAGGCUAGCGGUUUAAGGAUCCAGUCUGAAGGAGCCUUAAACUGCGAAAUCCAAAAUUCAGACUAAGUAUGUAGAUGCCGUUGUGGAAUGUUUCCGGACGCGGGUUCGACUCCCGCCGCCUCCACCA